ACGAUUACAGUUAUCAGAGUAUCUUCUGCCACCAUUGGCUAUACUCGGUAUCCAACAAAGAUCUUGACUUAGACAAAGUCUACUUUGUCUUCUCAUAUCCAUGAGGCUCGGGUGUUUAAAGUCUUUUCAUACUACCCUUUUCAACAAAGGUUGUUGCCACUAGUGGGUGUUUUACAUUCAAAUGAUACAAAACCAUUGUUAGGAUGAUUCUCU
RNAcentral lists this long non-coding RNA (213 nucleotides) under Medicago truncatula (barrel medic). Its description in RNAcentral is "long non-coding RNA (MTRU_LNC001109)". The record is from RNAcentral. Lineage: Eukaryota; Viridiplantae; Streptophyta; Magnoliopsida; Fabales; Fabaceae.